CCUACGGGUGGCAGCAGUGAUUAAUAUUUUUCAAUUUUCUCUAUCCUGAACCAGCCACGUCGCGUGAGGGAAGACGGCCCUACGGGUUGUAAACCUCUUUUGCCGGGGAGCAACGGGCGCCACGUGUGGCGCCACUGAGAGUACCCGGAGAAAAAGCAUCGGCUAACUCCGUGCCAGCAGCCGCGGUAAUACGGAGGAUGCGAGCGUUAUCCGGAUUUAUUGGGUUUAAAGGGUGCGUAGGCGGAGCGUUAAGUCAGUGGUCAAAUUGAGGGGCUCAACCCCUUCCCGCCAUUGAAACUGGCGCUCUUGAGUGGAAGAGAAGUAUGCGGAAUGCGUGGUGUAGCGGUGAAAUGCAUAGAUAUCACGCAGAACCCCGAUUGCGAAGGCAGCAUGCCGGCUUCCUACUGACGCUGAAGCACGAAAGCGUGGGGAUCGAACAGGAUUAGAUACCCGGGUAGUC
Molecule: ribosomal RNA, 460 nt
Filed under: uncultured bacterium
Lineage: Bacteria
Description: partial 16S ribosomal RNA
Rfam family: Bacterial small subunit ribosomal RNA
Source: RNAcentral